CAUAGGCCUGCUGGGGGCAUAUGAAAUGAAUAUGCGAGUCAAACCCACCGGCCGUGAUAAUCUUGCCCUCGCCAGCAAUGACAUCCGUACAGCUCCCCACGAUCAUCCCGUCGGUAACGCCAUCCAUGACAUCCGGGUUUCCGGCCUUGCCAAUGCCCACAAUCACACCGUCCUUCACGCCGAUAUCCGCCUUGUAAAUACCCGUAUAAUCGACAAUGAGGGCGUUCACAAUAACAACAUCGAGGCUCUCCGCAUCCGGACACCCGGACAUCUGGCCCAUACCCUCGCG
RNAcentral lists this small RNA (289 nucleotides) under Eutypa lata UCREL1. RNAcentral describes it as "5' ureB small RNA". It matches the Rfam family "5' ureB small RNA". Lineage: Eukaryota; Fungi; Ascomycota; Sordariomycetes; Xylariales; Diatrypaceae. The record is from Rfam by way of RNAcentral.